RNAcentral lists this long non-coding RNA (3638 nucleotides) under Marmota monax (woodchuck). The record is from RNAcentral. Lineage: Eukaryota; Metazoa; Chordata; Mammalia; Rodentia; Sciuridae.
CACCCUGGCCCUCUGGAAUCAUAUCGUGUGCUAGCCACUACAUACACAUAUAUGUAUUGCAGGGUACAUGGUAAUAUACAUGCAUAUAUGUAUAUAUAUCUCCUGAACCAUUCUGUGGCUUUGUAGUUGAGAAGGCUGAGACACAGAGAGGUACAGGGACUUGCUGCAGGUCACAUAGUUAGACAUAGCAAAACUGGAAUCUGGAUAAUAUUCAUCUCAUAUGGAAGUCUCCACUGGCCUAGGCUACCUCCCUAGAGAAACUUUUGAGAUCUCUAUCUAGAAACAAGAACUGAACCAACUCCUUAUUUACAGGUAGGAAAAGCACCCAGUGACACCCAGUACUGUCUCCUGGGCUUCGCCAACACCAGCUGGGUAUUCAGGUGCCCUGCGUGCAUGUCAGCUUAUUAAUGUGCCUGCCCUUUGCCUCUUCACCCUCAUGUAUUACCUAAAGGCUGAGAAGGUACAGUGCCUGCUUCCUGCCUGUGACUCGUUUCUCAGGUCCUCUUCUCUAUGGCUGGCUGCCUUCACUGAAGGUUCCAAGUCCUCUGAGAAAAAAGAAGUGUUGGUUUUGAUAUUUGGCAUGAUUUGUCCUUGGAGGCCUGUCUCCAAAGGAAGCCUUGCCUCUCCCAAGAGCCUUUUUUUCUAAUGCAUGCGCAUGUCCUCCUGAAGCAGAGAGCCUAGACUUUGUACUUGCACCUCACCUCUGCAUUCCCCACCUCCCUUGAGUUGACUUUCUCUUUCAGAUUAUUGGGAUCACCAAAGAGAGUGACUGCACCUGAAAGCCUGGGGCCUCCACACCAAAUCAGAGGAAAAAAAUCAGUCUUCUUCGGGCAUGGCAGGUAAUGGCUCAUUAUGGGGGAGUUAGACUUUUAAUCCAAGAUUGAAUAUAUCAUUUGAUAUUUUAAAAAUCUAAACCUAAACAACACAGCAGUGUGUACAACCUAUUUACACCGUGGAUCACUCUCUGGAAUUAUCUUGUUUUGAAUUUUUUUAGUUUUCUUGUCCGUUUUUAAACCCCCCCGCCCCUCCCCCAAGGCAAGUUCCUCAAGAAUGGGCCAUACCUACCUUGUCUUUACCCUGCCUCCAGUUCCAGAAAUCAUCCUGUGACAUAGUAGGUCCUCAAAAAAUAGUUAUUCAGUGAGUGAGUGAGUGAGCCCCAAUUUUAAACUACACUUGAAGUCCCAAUUUUAAAAUUAUUUCUUUACUUUUUUUUUUUAAUAAUUCCAUUUUUACUUAUUUGUUUGUUCCUUGUUCUUUUUCUUUCCUUUUUUCCCCCCCAGUUCUGGAGAUUAAAUGUAAGGCCUCCUGCAUGGUAAGCAGAAUCUCUGCCACUGAGCUCACCCCCGGCCCCAUCUGUACUUUUGUGUUUGUUUAUCAUGCAUGCAGGCACACACACCUGCACACCUAUGCGGUGAAUUUUGCAACUAUUUUUUUCACUCAACAAUAUAACAUGGAUAUGCUUUCAUUUUAGAAUAUACGUAUUCACUUUAUUCUGUACAUUCUACUAUAGAUUUGGAUGUUUUGAACUUGGUACUACUGAUGUUUGGGGCCACAUAAUCCUUUGUUGUGGGGAGAUCCCUGUGCCUUGUAGAAUGUUUAGCAGAGUCCAGUGACUCUGCCUGCCCCCACCAGUUGUGACAAUCAGAAAUGGCUCUGGAAUUGGGAAAUAUCCUCUGACUGGCAACACUGCUCCUAGUUGAAAAACAUUGGUGCAGGAUUUCAUUCACACCUAUUUUCCUGGUAAGCCCCCAAGUAGAAUUCCUUUAUAACAUUGGAGUCGGAGAAAGCCAAGAUUAAUAAUUUACUUAAUUCAUGGAAUUCAGCCUUUUACAUUCAACUGAAUACCCUGAAACUGUCUGCUUCAAGCUAAUACAUGUAGUUUCUCUUCAAGAUCCUACACUGCAAAAUUGAAGUCAAGCAUUUAACAUUUUAGUCUUAGAUGUUACCAGAGCAAAUCACCAAGUUACCUUCUAGAAGAAUUCAGUACAUAAUCCCACAGACUCUCAUGAAUGUGGACGAUACUGUGUUCAGAAGCCUCUGCUGUUCGUGAUACAGCUAGUGCCUAUAAAAUCUGUUCUUAGAGUCCUCUCUGCUUUAGCAUUGCCACCAAGAUAUGGCUUUCACCUAGUCCUGCCUUCCUCAAGGGACAAGGGGACAGUUCCUCGUGUUUUGUUUAAGUGCCCAGUUGCCAUGAACCUGGAAGAUGGAAGUAGAGUGUGCCAGCCUGAAAGGGGCCGUAGCUGUAGGGUUGGCACAAAAGAUGAGUUCUGAUAGCUUUUUAUUUUGGUGUUGGGGAGUCAGGCUAAAACUUCUCAUAGAGCUAACCAGAUUAUAUCAGGCUUUUAAAGAUUUAAUUUUGUAGUUUCGUUUUGAGAAGACAUAAUUUGGCCUGCUGUGUUUGUAUGUACAGGUUGAGCAUCCCUAAAGCUCCAAAACAUUUUUCAGCUCAUGACUCUAAAAUACUCUAAAAUCCAAAAUUCUCUGAACACAAAAUUUCAGAUUUUAGAGUAUUUCUGAUUUUGGAUUUUCAUAUCAUGGAUGCUUUACCUAGAAAGUCUACACAAAUAUUCCAAAAUUUGAAAAAUAUGAAUUCAAAAAUACUUCUGGCAUUUCAGAUAAGGAAUACUCAACCUAUAUUUGCACACUCAAGUAAAGAUGAACUAUUAUAUAACUGAAUUUAAAAAUGUUAAUUUUAAAACUGUCAUCCAGUAAGAUCAUUGGUAUUGCUUAGCUUCAACGGCAGUGAUGCGUCUAAGCAUAUAAUUUUCAUCUUAGUCUUCAUGGGAUUUUGACAAAGGAGAAUGGCUGUUCAGUAGGAAAUGUUCCUUCUCCUGAUGUAGGUAAGAAAGUGCUCAUUGUCUAUGCACACCAAGAACCCAAGUCUUUCAAUGGCUCCUUGAAGAAAGUGGCAGUGGAUGAAUUGAGCCAGCAGGGAUGCACCGUCACCGUGUCUGACUUGUAUGCCAUGAACUUUGAGCCAAGGGCCACAAGGAAAGAUAUCACUGGUGAGUCACGGCAUAAAUGCUUGGUUAUUUUUUAACUUUCUUCUUUGUAUGCUUUAAUUUUAACAUGUCUUAAAAAGCUAAUCAUUGCACAAAAUAUGUAAAUCUCAGGUCAGCAAGGAGUCCAAAGUGCCAGGCUCUUUUCCCUCCUAUCCCCCAGCAACCCAGUUUCUCUGUUCCCAAGGUAGUCAGGAUGCAGUUUUCUCUGUGCCCUUUCUGAGAUAGUCCUUGCUAUAUAAGUAGUCAUGAGAGUAUUCUUCAUUUUUCCUCUACAUUUUACAAAAACAGAAGCAUAUUAUGCUCAUCAUUUUACAAGUUGCUUUUAUUUUUCUUAUUGUAGAAAGUAUUCUGUUGUAUGGCCAUGUCAUGGUAUCUCCCUACUAAAGGACAUUUUAGGUUGUUUCUGAUCUUUUGCUAUCAAAAACAAUGUUGAAGUGAACAGUCAGAGUCAUAUGUGUUUUCCCACAUAUGCAAGUUCGUCUAGAAGAGUGUGCAUUUUAAUUUUCCUAGAUAAUGCCAAGUUGCUCUCCAUAAAUCUCAUACCAGUUUACACUAUUGUCAGCAAUGUUUACAAAUGUUAUUUCCUCACUGUCACCAAUAGUAUUGCCAUUUUUUUUUAAUAAUUGCCAGUCUAGC